This is an RNA transcript of Salvia splendens (bonfire salvia), 2755 nucleotides long. It is a transcript of the gene named beta-1,2-xylosyltransferase, with no coding region annotated. The transcript is spliced from 3 exons. NCBI's taxonomy places the organism in Eukaryota, Viridiplantae, Streptophyta, Magnoliopsida, Lamiales, Lamiaceae. The record is from RefSeq and is a predicted model, not a curated record.
AUUUUUUAAUACAAUAUUUAUUGAAAACGGCACUCCUAUUGGCGUUUUUCAGAAAGGUGAAAUUCUCAGACAUACUAUGCGCGACUUGAUCCGUUCCACUCGGUUAGUUGAUCCCCAUGAAUUUGUUUGCUCUAAGUAGAUUGAAGAUCCAGCAAUUUUAGUUACUCGAUUUGAAUAUGCAAACUUGUUUCACACAGUUACUGAGUGGUACAGUGCUUAUGUGGCCUCCAGGGUCACUGGCUUGCCUAAUCGACCUCAUUUGGUGUUUGUAGAUGGUCACUGUGAGCCUGCAGGCUCACUAUCUACAGCAUCGACAUUGGCCUGUUGAAUGGGGAUGGUGCCGCGACCUUCAAUCUUUUAUCUUCGUCUUUGAAAGGCACAACAGGUGACACUUGUGCAAUUAUUAUUAUUAUCAAAAGCUCGGUAGUCUCAUGUGCUUAUAUAUUCUAAAGAAUGAUUCACAAAAUUAAUGACACUGAAACUAAAAACUACAUUUCAAAAAAGAAUAAACAGAAAACAUAGGUGAAAAACCUACAAAUAUUUGUACAAAAUUGAAGACAAUUAGCCCGGUAAAGAAUGAGGCAGGUGGACGGUGAGCAGAUAUCAGACAGCUAGUAAGAUAGUUGGAAAAAUCCCCCUUUUAAAUGGAUGUAAAAUGGUGCAAAUAUUUUUCAAUAAUUUUUCAUCCAACACACAAAUUUAUACAACAAUUUAUAGCUGAUUCAAGUAUAUGAAGAAAUCAGAUAUAAGAAUGCAGAAUUCAUAAAUACACCUUAUGCUAGGAAUUUAACAAUAACGGGAAAUAUAUGCAUUUGUUCACCAAUUGAGGAUUCAGACCUAUGAUAACAUAUUAUACCUUUGAUCAUCGGAACCUACAAGAAAUGUGAAGCUUCCGGUCGCGGACUGUGCAAUGAUAACAUAUUAUAAACUGCAGAAAGGUUGCGGGCCAAUUGAAAUGCCUGUUCCUUUUUAACUAGACUAGCAAUCAAUCUUUUCUGGUCUCAGAGUACCCUUCACGUCAAUCUAUAUAUACAGAGAAGUAAUCAAUCCAUUGUUUGUCAGAAUUCAGAGUUAUGAAGUAAUACUAUUGCCUGUUCGUUUUACUGCACCUUUUCUAGUCUUGCCCAAUAGUCUGUAACUCAAGGUAACAGACAAGUAUUUUACGGGAAAUAAGAAAGGAAAUAAUGGUGCUUGUUCUUGAACAAAGACGGUUUCUUUCUUCAUGUUUGAAAUCGACUACUCAACAAAAAUUACAACAGAAAAUAAUGGUUUCUAUCUUCAUACUUAUAUAGUUAUACUACAAUUCAAGUAGUGAAUCUGGAAUGGAUUUCCACCUGUGACUGUGAUCAUGAAUUUAAAAUUUUGAACAUGAAUUCAACUAUCAAAUUGCCAUAUUAUAAGGUUGGUAUACAUAAUUACACAUUCAAUCAGCUUGAAAGCAAAACAGAAAGAAUGCAUACUAUUUGGUUCCCUAUAUUCAAAUAUUUCAGCAGAAACUAAAUUGCUGGUAAAUGGUCUAUCUGAACUAGAUGUUUUAUUGCCUUAACAAAAUUGUAAUCAAAUUGAGGACAUUACUAAAACACUUACAACAGUGUAGAGAGCUUUCCCAAACUUCGAAGUACCAUGUGCAGUUUUGGAUCAGCAUCAUUUCUUGCAACAAACUCAUGAACUGCAUCUUUAACCUGAAUCCAACUUCUACCUGGAACCGUUCCUUUCAUUUUCUCUCUCAUUUUGUUCCUUACGUUAACCACUCUAUCCCAUUCGGUAAUUGAUGAUACUCUAUAAAUUUAGUGACUUUCGUGUUGAAAGAUUUCUCAUGAUUGCCUUCACCUCCGUUCCUUCAACUAAUCAAUGAUUUAGAGUUAAUUCAGUAAACAAUAGAGCUCUAAUUGCAAUAACACAAAACAGAAUACAAAAUAACCCAAGCCCUAAUUUGAAGUGAAGAACAACAAACUAACUUGAAUAGAGAAGGGAGCCUGAUGGAGGUGGUGGCUGGCAGGCCACACGCGUCGGAGGUCGAGCAAUCUAUACGUAACAGCACUUCAAGUGCAACAUAGUCAUCCUCAUCGCCUUCAAAUGCUUCUUCCUCUUCUUCUUGCUCUAAUUCUUCUUCAUGUAUACUUUCUUGAUGUGCUGCGGUCUUUGUGUCUUUCUUAGAACCUCGAACAAAACUAGAUGAUGUGAAAAACUCUUUUUUUUACCUAGCAUAUGUUGUACACUCUCCAAUUCCCGAAGCCUCAUAAGCAGAUUCCCGGUCUAGUGUACUGCCAUCAAAAACCAAAAUAUUGUCGUGUUUACAACUUUAACAUCGUCUAAUUCUCCAACCAACUAUUCGUUACACUCAUCAAUGUCGUUGAGUGAAAUGAGAUUGAUUUUUUCUUUAAUAUCCCAUUGUCUAAUGGGAUUGAUUUUUUCUUUAAUUCUCCAACAAAAUGCAAUCUUUCACACAAUCUUUCACAAGGUAGAAGUUGGAGAAUUAGACGAUGUUGAAGUUGUAAACACGACAAUAUUUUGGUUUUUGACGGCGAUACACUAGACCGGGAAUCUGCUUAUGAGGCUUCGGGAAUUGGAGAGUCUACAGCAUAUGCUAGGUCAAAAAAAAAGAAUUUUUCAAAUGUUUUGUUCGAGGUUCUAAGAAAGACACAAGGACCGCAGCACAUCAAGAAAGGAUACAUGAAGAAGAAUUAGAGCAAGAAGAAGAGGAAGAAGCAUUUGAAGGCGAUGACGAUGACUAUGUUGGACUUGAAGAAUUAGA